This is a long non-coding RNA of Lagopus leucura (white-tailed ptarmigan), 186 nucleotides long. RefSeq lists it as uncharacterized. The record is from RefSeq and is a predicted model, not a curated record. The transcript has 3 exons. Lineage: Eukaryota; Metazoa; Chordata; Aves; Galliformes; Phasianidae.
CUUGGAGUCUUCUCAGUGAGCCUAGGACAAGGGAAAGAUUCCUUCCACUUCUGAACUGGACAACAGAGUCAGGUCAGCCUCUCAUAGUAUUCCUUGCACAUACUUACGAAACCAGGGAUCCAUAUGAUGCAAAACCAGUGCUCAGAGAACUUGAGGAGGCUCCCUUCAAGUACUGGAAUGCCACAG